Molecule: ribosomal RNA, 496 nt
Filed under: uncultured bacterium
Lineage: Bacteria
Description: partial 16S ribosomal RNA
Rfam family: Bacterial small subunit ribosomal RNA
Source: RNAcentral
AUUGAACGCUGGCGGAAUGCUUUACACAUGCAAGUCGAACGGUAGAGGGGGCAACCCCUCGAGAGUGGCGAACGGGUGAGUAAUAUAUCGGAACGUGCCCAGUCGGGGGGGAUAACGUAGCGAAAGUUACGCUAAUACCGCAUACGAUCUAAGGAUGAGAGCGGGGGAUCGCAAGACCUCGCGCGAUUGGAGCGGGCGAUAUCAGGUUAGGUAGUUGGUGGGGUAAAGGCUCACCAAGCCAACGAUCUGUAGCUGGUCUGAGAGGACGACCAGCCACACUGGAACUGCGACACGGUCCAGACGCCUAGGGGAGGCAGCAGUGGGGAAUUUUGGACAAUGGACGCAAGUCGGAUCCAGCCAUUCCGCGUGCAGGAUGAAGGCCGUCGGGUUGUAAACUGCUUUUGUACAGAACGAAAAGGUCUCUCUUAAUACGGGGGACUCAUGACGGUACCGUAAGAAUAAGCACCGGCUAACUACGUGCCAGCCGCCGCAGUAA